This 317-nucleotide long non-coding RNA is filed under the name Helianthus annuus (common sunflower). RNAcentral's name for it is "hypothetical non coding rna". The record is from RNAcentral. Lineage: Eukaryota; Viridiplantae; Streptophyta; Magnoliopsida; Asterales; Asteraceae.
CUACUACUACUACUACUGCUACUACUGCUACUACUGCUACGACUGCUACUACGGCUACGACGGCUACUACGGCUACUACGGCUACUACGCCUACGCCUACGACUACGACUACGACUACGACUACGACGACGACUACGACUACGACGACGACUACGACGAUGACUACGACUACGACUACGACUACGACGACGACUACGACUACGACUACGACUACGACUACGACGACGACUACGACGACGACUACGACGAAGACUACGACGACGACUACGACUACGACUACGACGACGACUACGACGACGACUACGACGACGACGACG